RNAcentral lists this ribosomal RNA (941 nucleotides) under uncultured bacterium. Its description in RNAcentral is "bacterial SSU rRNA". It matches the Rfam family "Bacterial small subunit ribosomal RNA", at positions 8 to 916 of the family's 1533-position model. The record is from RNAcentral.
AGAGUUUGAUCAUGGCUCAGGACGAACGCUGGCGGCGUGCUAAUACAUGCAAGUCGAGCGAGCGGAACCAACAGAUUUACUUCGGUAAUGACGUUGGGAAAGCGAGCGGCGGAUGGGUGAGUAACACGUGGGGAACCUGCCCCUAAGUCUGGGAUACCAUUUGGAAACAGGUGCUAAUACCGGAUAAUAAAGCAGAUCGCAUGAUCAGCUUUUGAAAGGCGGCGUAAGCUGUCGCUAAGGGAUGGCCCCGCGGUGCAUUAGCUAGUUGGUAAGGUAACGGCUUACCAAGGCGACGAUGCAUAGCCGAGUUGAGAGACUGAUCGGCCACAUUGGGACUGAGACACGGCCCAAACUCCUACGGGAGGCAGCAGUAGGGAAUCUUCCACAAUGGACGCAAGUCUGAUGGAGCAACGCCGCGUGAGUGAAGAAGGUUUUCGGAUCGUAAAGCUCUGUUGUUGGUGAAGAAGGAUAGAGGUGGUAACUGGCCUUUAUUUGACGGUAAUCGACCAGAAAGUCACGGCUAACUACGUGCCAGCAGCCGCGGUAAUACGUAGGUGGCAAGCGUUGUCCGGAUUUAUUGGGCGUAAAGCGAGCGCAGGCGGAAAAAUAAGUCUAAUGUGAAAGCCCUCGGCUUAACCGAGGAACUGCAUCGGAAACUGUUUUUCUUGAGUGCAGAAGAGGAGAGUGGAACUCCAUGUGUAGCGGUGGAAUGCGUAGAUAUAUGGAAGAACACCAGUGGCGAAGGCGGCUCUCUGGUCUGCAACUGACGCUGAGGCUCGAAAGCAUGGGUAGCGAACAGGAUUAGAUACCCUGGUAGUCCAUGCCGUAAACGAUGAGUGCUAAGUGUUGGGAGGUUUCCGCCUCUCAGUGCUGCAGCUAACGCAUUAAGCACUCCGCCUGGGGAGUACGACCGCAAGGUUGAAACUCAAAGGAAUUGACGG